Molecule: long non-coding RNA, 517 nt
Organism: Coturnix japonica (Japanese quail)
Lineage: Eukaryota; Metazoa; Chordata; Aves; Galliformes; Phasianidae
Source: RefSeq, a predicted model, not a curated record
CACAGUCUACACUCUGAACCCUUCCUUUAAAGCAAAGCCAAAACAAAAAAAAAGAAAGAAAAAAAGAAAGAAAAAGCAAGCAAGGUGAAUGCCAGUUUGAUUGGUGGCAGGCUGCAGAUUCUGAAGGCUGUUCUCCAUCAGAGCUUGCACAGCGAGGACCGUUGUUUUGCAUGGGCAGCACGAAGCACAAAGGAGGUGCUCAGGCCUCACCUCGCACAUUUAAUCACUCCUGUGAAUGGGUGUCAUUGAGGUCCUGGCAGCCCAGCCCCAGCAUGCAGCAUCCCCCCGAGGUACUAUUGCCAUGUGAGCUGCAAGACGGCACAGAGAAGCAGAUCCUUUUAUUCCUCCUUUCCCAGAUGACCAGCCAGUGCUUUAAGAAAGAAUGAACAUCAGAUCUUCUGAGCAUGCAAAGCAACAAGGCAUCAAGGCAGCAGUGACACAAGCAGUAAUAUCCUUCGGUAAAUGCCGCUCAAUGCAGCAGGGCUUCCGAGCGAUUAAAGGAGUCUUGGAAAUGUCA